GUUAAAUUGGCAGAUAUUAUGCAGUUGGUUUAGGGCCAGAAGAAAAGAAUAGUUUUCUUAUUUAAUA
This 67-nucleotide transfer RNA is filed under the name Cocculina enigmadonta. RNAcentral describes it as "tRNA-Leu". The record is from RNAcentral. Lineage: Eukaryota; Metazoa; Mollusca; Gastropoda; Cocculinidae.